This 1047-nucleotide ribosomal RNA is filed under the name Fusarium sp. CCG-2012. RNAcentral's name for it is "eukaryotic LSU rRNA". The stretch from base 467 to 1047 matches the Rfam family "Eukaryotic large subunit ribosomal RNA", at positions 1 to 593 of the family's 3401-position model. The record is from RNAcentral. Lineage: Eukaryota; Fungi; Ascomycota; Sordariomycetes; Hypocreales; Nectriaceae.
CUCAUCAACCCUGUGAACAUACCUAAACGUUGCUUCGGCGGGAACAGACGGCCCCGUAACACGGGCCGCCCCCGCCAGAGGACCCCCUAACUCUGUUUCUAUAAUGUUUCUUCUGAGUAAAACAAGCAAAUAAAUUAAAACUUUCAACAACGGAUCUCUUGGCUCUGGCAUCGAUGAAGAACGCAGCGAAAUGCGAUAAGUAAUGUGAAUUGCAGAAUUCAGUGAAUCAUCGAAUCUUUGAACGCACAUUGCGCCCGCCAGUAUUCUGGCGGGCAUGCCUGUUCGAGCGUCAUUACAACCCUCAGGCCCCCGGGCCUGGCGUUGGGGAUCGGCGGAGCCCCCCGCGGGCACACGCCGUCCCCCAAAUACAGUGGCGGUCCCGCCGCAGCUUCCAUUGCGUAGUAGCUAACACCUCGCAACUGGAGAGCGGCGCGGCCACGCCGUAAAACCCCCAACUUCUGAACGUUGACCUCGAAUCAGGUAGGAAUACCCGCUGAACUUAAGCAUAUCAAUAAGCGGAGGAAAAGAAACCAACAGGGAUUGCCCUAGUAACGGCGAGUGAAGCGGCAACAGCUCAAAUUUGAAAUCUGGCUCUCGGGCCCGAGUUGUAAUUUGUAGAGGAUGCUUUUGGUGAGGUGCCUUCCGAGUUCCCUGGAACGGGACGCCAUAGAGGGUGAGAGCCCCGUCUGGUUGGACACCGAUCCUCUGUAAAGCUCCUUCGACGAGUCGAGUAGUUUGGGAAUGCUGCUCUAAAUGGGAGGUAUAUGUCUUCUAAAGCUAAAUACCGGCCAGAGACCGAUAGCGCACAAGUAGAGUGAUCGAAAGAUGAAAAGAACUUUGAAAAGAGAGUUAAAAAGUACGUGAAAUUGUUGAAAGGGAAGCGCUUGUGACCAGACUUGGGCUUGGUUGAUCAUCCAGGGUUCUCCCUGGUGCACUCUUCCGGCCCAGGCCAGCAUCAGUUCGCCCCGGGGGAAAAAGGCUUCGGGAAUGUGGCUCUCUCCGGGGAGUGUUAUAGCCCGUUGCGUAAUACCCUGUGGCGGACUGAGG